This 253-nucleotide ribosomal RNA is filed under the name uncultured bacterium. RNAcentral describes it as "partial 16S ribosomal RNA". It matches the Rfam family "Bacterial small subunit ribosomal RNA", at positions 524 to 776 of the family's 1533-position model. The record is from RNAcentral.
UACGGAGGGUGCAAGCGUUAUCCGGAUUCACUGGGUUUAAAGGGUGUGUAGGCGGGCAUUUAAGUCAGUGGUGAAAUCUCCAGGCUCAACCUGGAAACUGCCAUUGAUACUAUUUGUCUUGAAUCCUGUUGAGGUGGGCGGAAUAUAUCAUGUAGCGGCGAAAUGCUUAGAUAUGAUAUAGAACACCGAUUGCGAAGGCAGCUCACUAAGCAGGCAUUGACGCUGAGGCACGAAAGCGUGGGGAGCAAACAGG